CUGCGCUCGCGGGGGCUGCUGCGCUCUGCGCUGGGGCCUCUCGGGCUGGGAAUGCGUGGCCCGGCUUUUGAGGAUUUCCUCGGUCCCCGGGCGGAAAUAGCUGGAAUGGAGGGGCCUCUCGAUUGGAGACUUACUGGUCAAAUAUUUACUUUUGUUGAUCACUGGAAACGCUACCUACCACGCAUUGACUAGGACCACAAAAACCACGACUUCCUGGAAAAGUCUUCACCGUAAAUAUUAAUCUCUUUGGCAUGAAGAGGAAAACACUGCAGCUAAUUUUUCAUGGGAUAACAAAAAUAUAAACUGCAAUUUCUUUUAUUUUUUCCCUUUCGAUGGUCUUUUUAAACGAGGAGUAAAGAUUUCAACGCCAGGUCCAUUUUCCAAAUUUUGUACCAGAACCUUGAGGAUGCUUGUCUCUCGCGCGCUUCUCCGCAGACCGAACCCUCUCCGGAACUCAGAGCUGUUCACCCAAGUCAGCGGAGGAGGCCUCCUGGGACUUGAGCCUGAGGGUGGCGAAGAACCCUAGGCAGAGAUCAUCAACUUGGUACCGAUGAGUGACGCGGAGCUUGAACAUUCCAGCGACUUGCUCCAGGGCCACUCCCAGUUAAGAGGCUGAGUGUUAACUGCAAGAGGCUGAGUGUUAACUACGCCGUUGGCUCCAGGAACCGAACCGGGUUUGGAUACAGACCCAGUCACACCAUCCAUGAAAAGCUGUUUCUAUAAUAUGAAAAAUUGUUAAAUGACGCUUUAGUAAAAGCCAUUUAAAGAUCUUUUCUAAUAAAUUUUUCAUCUUUCCAAACAAUGCCGCUAAUUACCUUCUG
RNAcentral lists this long non-coding RNA (821 nucleotides) under Homo sapiens (human). RNAcentral describes it as "non-protein coding lnc-CAGE1-1:3". The record is from RNAcentral. Lineage: Eukaryota; Metazoa; Chordata; Mammalia; Primates; Hominidae.